GAUGAAGAACGCAGCGAAAUGCGAUACUUGGUGUGAAUUGCAGAAUCCCGUGAACCAUCGAGUCUUUGAACGCAAGUUGCGCCUCAAGCCAUUAGGUUGAGGGCACGUCUGCCUGGGCGUCACAUAUCGUUGCCUGAUGCCAGUUUCCUCGUGAUGGGUGACUGUGCAGGGCGAAUGAUGGCUUCCCGUGAGCAUUGUUGCCUCAUGGUUGGUUGAAAAUUGAGUCCUUGGUAGGGAGCGCCGUGAUAGAUGGUGGUUGAGUGACGAACGAGACCCAAUCAUGUGAGACCCCUACCGAAUUGGCCUUCAUGACCCACAUGCGUCUUUGGAACGCUCAUGACGAGACCUCAGGUCAGGCGGGGCUACCCGCUGAGUUUAAGCAUAUCAAUAAGCGGAGGA
RNAcentral lists this unclassified non-coding RNA (399 nucleotides) under soil metagenome. RNAcentral's name for it is "partial contains 5.8S ribosomal RNA, internal transcribed spacer 2, and large subunit ribosomal RNA". The stretch from base 1 to 122 matches the Rfam family "5.8S ribosomal RNA", at positions 35 to 154 of the family's 154-position model. The record is from RNAcentral.